RNAcentral lists this ribosomal RNA (561 nucleotides) under uncultured Eubacteriales bacterium. RNAcentral's name for it is "bacterial SSU rRNA". It matches the Rfam family "Bacterial small subunit ribosomal RNA", at positions 74 to 648 of the family's 1533-position model. Lineage: Bacteria; Bacillati; Bacillota; Clostridia; Eubacteriales. The record is from RNAcentral.
GGAUGGAAUCACAUUAUUUUAGCGGCGGACGGGUGAGUAACGCGUGAGCGACCAACCUUGCACAGGGGGAUAACGGACCGAAAGGUUCACUAAUACCGCAUGAGACCACGGUGUUGCAUGACACAGGGGUCAAAGGAGCAAUCCGGUGCAAGACGGGCUCGCGUCCGAUUAGGUAGUUGGAGGGGUAACGGCCCACCAAGCCUAUGAUCGGUAGCCGACCUGAGAGGGUGAUCGGCCACAUUGGAACUGAGAUACGGUCCAAACUCCUACGGGAGGCAGCAGUGGGGAAUAUUGGGCAAUGGGGGAAACCCUGACCCAGCAACGCCGCGUGAAGGAAGAAGGUUUUCGGAUUGUAAACUUCUGUCCUUGGUGAAGAGAAGAAGACGGUAGCCAAGGAGGAAGCCCCGGCUAACUACGUGCCAGCAGCCGCGGUAAUACGUAGGGGGCAAGCGUUGUCCGGAAUGAUUGGGCGUAAAGGGCGCGUAGGCGGCUUUGUAAGUCUUGGAGUGAAAGUCCUCUUUUCCAGGGAGGAAUUGCUUUGGAAACUAUAGAGCUUGAGUG